AUUCCAGCUCCAAUAGCGUAUAUUAAAGUUGUUGCGGUUAAAAAGCUCGUAGUUGGAUUUCUGCUGAGGACGACUGGUCCGCCCCCUGGGUGAGCAUCUGGUUCGGCCUGGGCAUCUUCUUGGGGAACGUAUCUGCACUUGAUUGUGUGGUGCGGUAUCCAGGACUUUUACUUUGAGGAAAUUAGAGUGUUUCAAGCAGGCCCGCGCCUUGAAUACAUUAGCAUGGAAUAAUAAGAUAGGACCUCGGUUCUAUUUUGUUGGUUUCGAACACCGGAGUAAUGAUUAACAGGGACAGUCAGGGGCACUCGUAUUCCGCCGAGAGAGGUGAAAUUCUCAGACCAGCGGAAGACGAACCACCGCGAAAGCAUUUGCCAGGGAUGUUUUCAUCA
Molecule: ribosomal RNA, 389 nt
Filed under: Eukaryota sp.
Lineage: Eukaryota
Description: partial small subunit ribosomal RNA
Rfam family: Eukaryotic small subunit ribosomal RNA
Source: RNAcentral